This 83-nucleotide transfer RNA is filed under the name Rosellinia necatrix. It matches the Rfam family "tRNA". Rfam says of the family: Transfer RNA (tRNA) molecules are approximately 80 nucleotides in length. Their secondary structure includes four short double-helical elements and three loops (D, anti-codon, and T loops). Further hydrogen bonds mediate the characteristic L-shaped molecular structure. tRNAs have two regions of fundamental functional importance: the anti-codon, which is responsible for specific mRNA codon recognition, and the 3' end, to which the tRNAs corresponding amino acid is attached (by aminoacyl-tRNA synthetases). tRNAs cope with the degeneracy of the genetic code in two manners: having more than one tRNA (with a specific anti-codon) for a particular amino acid; and 'wobble' base-pairing, i.e. permitting non-standard base-pairing at the 3rd anti-codon position. Lineage: Eukaryota; Fungi; Ascomycota; Sordariomycetes; Xylariales; Xylariaceae. RNAcentral also lists the same sequence under 1 other name. The record is from Rfam by way of RNAcentral.
AUCCGAAUGGUGAAAUUGGUAUACACAACAAGUUUAAGCUUUGUCGGUUAGCAGCCGUGAAGGUUCGAGUCCUUUUUCGGAUA